GUUAGUUGAUCCCCGAACAUAUGCCAAAACUGGAACAUACAGAGAAGAUAGCAUGAAUCUGUGCGAGGAUAACACGCAAAUUCAUGAAGGGUUCCAGUUUUUU
Molecule: small nuclear RNA, 103 nt
Filed under: Oesophagostomum dentatum (nodular worm)
Lineage: Eukaryota; Metazoa; Nematoda; Chromadorea; Rhabditida; Strongylidae
Source: RNAcentral